RNAcentral lists this long non-coding RNA (4566 nucleotides) under Brassica napus (rape). RNAcentral describes it as "long non-coding RNA (BNAP_LNC001863)". The record is from RNAcentral. Lineage: Eukaryota; Viridiplantae; Streptophyta; Magnoliopsida; Brassicales; Brassicaceae.
AGAAUGUUCCAGAGCUCAAGGCACCACAAGCCUGUCUACUACUAAACCUGAGGAAGUAGAAGAAGAAAGCCAUGUUAAUGAUGAAGAGGAACCGCUUAUCCAAUCAGUUGAAUGUCGUAUUUGCCAAGAGGAGGAUUCUGUUAAGAACCUCGAGUCUCCAUGUUCUUGUAGCGGCAGCUUGAAGGUGAGUUCUUCUUCUGUUUUUUUCGGUAUAUUGUAGCUGAAAACUGAACUACUUUGGUUUUCUGUUGUAUCCAGUAUGCUCACAGGAAGUGUGUUCAGCGUUGGUGUAAUGAGAAAGGCGACACCAUCUGUGAGAUAUGCCACAAGGUAAACAUAUAUAAUCAAUGUUCAAGAAAUCGCUAGGCGGUGGUUAAACGUUUUAUAUCAGAUUAUUGAUUAUGCGGGCAUCUAGACCAAAAUGCCCAAGAAAAAAAACAGAAUCGGCAUAAUAUUUUUUAAGAAAAAUCGUUUGGUUUGGGUCUAAUUUGCAGCCGCCUAGACCGAUUUUUAGAAAAAUAAAUGUCAUCAUUGAUUAUAAUCAUUUUCAUUGCAAUUACUAAGAUCUUUGUUUUCUUCUCCCUUGAUGAUAACAACAGUCUUAUCAACCUGGCUACACAGCUCCACCACCUCCUCCUCCUGAUGAUACCAUUAUCGAUAUGGGGUAACAUUUUCUGAACCUGUCUCUUGUGGUUUCAUAUAGCAUAAUAUUAUUUUUAUUCAAGAAACGUUUGUUGUGUUUGUGUGUGUUAUGCAGUGAAGAUUGGGGUAAUGGUGUUCCCUUAGACUUGAACGACCCGCGCAUUUUAGCAAUGGCGGCUGCAGAACGCCACUUCUUCGAUGCUGACUAUGAUGAGUAUGCUGAUUCUAACUCUAGUGGAACUGCGUUUCUUCGCUCUGCUGCACUUAUCGUAAGCCCCCACAUUAAUGUUCUGUUUAUAACAUUUCUUUGUUGAAAAAUUGAAACUUAUUGAGAGUUGAAAUGGCAGUUAAUGGCACUUUUGUUGUUAAGACACGCUAUGAACCUUUCAAACAACAACUCAGACGACGAAGAAGAUGAUCCAUCAGCUUUCUUCUUUGUAAGCAACAUCUCUUGCUACACCGUUAAAUAAUCUCUCGUUUUGAAUGUUUUGAGCCUGAAGGCCCAUGAUGAGGCCCAAACCAUUUUAAAUUAAUUUUUCUUGAAAAAAAAAUAUCUUGUCAUAGUAUUUACUCUCUCUCUCUCUCUCCCUUUGGUUUCGGACAGCUUUUCAUGCUACGUGCUGCUGGUUUUCUCCUCCCGUGUUACAUCAUGGCUUGGGCCAUCAGUAUAUUACAACGCCGUAGACAAAGACAGGUAAAAUAACACACUCCACACACAUUAGUCUAAGCUUAUGUUUACUCUCUUAUGUUCUUGUGUUUGUGAAUAUCAGGAAGCAGCGGCUCUGGCCGCUGCAGAAGUUGCGUUUAUGUUACACAGCGGUGGAGGACAACGCAGAGGAGGAUUGCACUAUGCUGUAGCACCUGAGCUGGUACCGAGUCCACAAGGGCAACAACACCAACCUGAAGCUGCACCGCAAUGAUUAUAUAUAGUCUUGAUCACUAGUGAGGAAAGUAAAAACAUCAUCCAGGGAUUUGGUUUCUCUGUCUGUAGUAGCUGUUUGUUGUUUAUUCGGUUCUUGGAACAGAGCAAAAAAUUAAAAGCUUCAAAAUUUCAAUUUAAAGCAACAAGAGUCAGCAAGCAAAUUCAUCUUCUGAACCUCCCACCUCUACCACCACCACGUCCACCUCUUCUUCCCCCACCGCGACCUCCCCCACCGUGCCCAUUACCGUUAGACCCAGGAGUUUUCAUGUUUUCAGGCAACGGGAGGAUGUGAUCAACGCACUUCCUGUAGCUGAAAUCAUCAGCAGUGUCGUCUUCCCUAACCAAAAAGAAGCACCUGCUCUUCCACAUCGGAUGGGUUCUUACUUGGAAGGCUUUGAUCCCUCCUCCAAUCUUAUUGUCAGGCUCAGUAUGGCCUUUCUUGAUCAGAUCUAACAGCACCAUGUGUUCAUACUGAAAAAUGUAACAAAUUAGUUAUAACCUCCAAAGAAACUGCAAUAACAAGCACAUACAGUAUACAUCAACUUAACCUCUGUUGUCUAACCAAUAUUCAGAAAAUUACAAGAACACACUUCCUAUUCAUGCAAAUGUAUAUAUAUAUAUAUAAAAGAUUUUUUUUUUUUUUUUUUGCAAAUAACUUUCGAGUAGUAAUCAAAGUAACAUCUGCAAAGGAACACACUUCCCAAUCUGUUUCAGUUGGGCUACAAAGUCACGAUUUUUAUCAUGUAUUAUUAUCCUCUUCCUAAACACAUUGCAUCAUCCACAACCACAAAUGUUAUUAUUUAUUUAUUUAUUUGUGCACAAAUGUUAUUAACAAUCAAUAAAUAAGAGACAAAACAGAGUAUCUACACACAACACAAACUCAAUCAAAACCGACAAAGAACAGACAUUUUUGCAAAGAACUUUCCAGCAGUAAUCAAACUAAGAACUAACAAAGGAACACACUUCACAGUUGAUAAAUCAUCUUUCCUAAACAAGUUGAGUUUCAUUGUAAAGUUUCAAUUUUUUAUUAUAACCCAAUAUCAACAACCCAACAAACAUAAUAAAAAUCGAAACUUUACAAUUAAAAAAAGGCAAAAAGACAAGAAGAAGAUCAACACUACAUACCUUGUUGACAUCGAGAUCAGUUGGCCAGAAGUGCAUAAACUUGGUGAAGUAAUCAAACAUCGCCACAGAGGUAACGAACUCCUUCGGACCCAGCUUAACCGGAUCCGACCCGUUGGGUUUCUCUUCCUCUUCCACUUUCUGCUUCUUGGAUUCGCCUCCAUCCUCUGUUUCCUUCGUCUCCUCUCUCGCGCGUUUCUCCGCAGCCUCCACUUCCAUGUCUGUUAUUGGUUCAGCUGGCGCGGAAGCUACGAUCUCUUGUUGCUCAGCCAUUGUUAAGCUUUCGCCUUUUCUCUCUUUCUAUGGUUGCUAGGGUUUAAGCUUUAGGUCGAGUGUCCUCCUACUAAAAAUAAGGUGAGCGGCGUGUUUAUAUAUUACCGUCGGUUUUUGAUUGAACCGAACCGGUUUAUUCCGGUUUUGUUAAUUGUUUGUUUAUUUAUACUACUUUACUAAUUUCCCUCUGUAGAAUUCUACAAUUAGCUUCUUUUUUUUAAUGAGAUGUUAAUUGUUAAUGAGUUUGAAAGGUAAAAUUUAGUUGUCAAAAAAAAAGUUCAUAAAAAUUUCCAACUUGCUGCUAAUUUUUAACAGUUAUUUUUUUAAAUAUAUAUAUUAGAAUAUAAUUUACAUUUAUCAGAGUUAAUUUAUUCAUUUAUAAUGUUUUUAGAAAUUUUCAUUUAAGCAUUAGAUAUUCAAGUCACAAGAAGGUUUAUAUAUUUUUAUUGGAAUGAAUAAUUCAUUGAUAAACACCUAAAAUUAAUUAGUUUUAUCUUUAUUUGUUAAAAAAAGUUAUAUAUAUUAUCUACAUUUAUUGAUUUCACUAGAUUUUUUUUUUGUAUUUUCUAGUUAAGAAUAAAUACAAGAUCUUUAUUUAUUAUUUUAAUUAAAUUGGUUUCUUUGAAACCUUGAUUGUGACCAGGAUUGAUACAAAAUAAAAAAAUUAUGAAAUAUCUGAUAGCAACCAAGAAAGUAACUCCGUUACCGUUUGGUUUGAGAGUAGGUGAGAGUACCGUGAGAUAGAUUAUUAUCAACUCAACUCUUCUGAGAAUGCCUUCUAACGGACGCACCGUGUUAAACCGUCAACAUCCACAGCUCCGGUUUGUGUAUUGAAAACGUAUAGUACAGUAAACACGCGCUUCGAGACAUUUAAUAUACUUAUCUGAAAAUCAUUCAGACCGAACAUCAACACAAGAAAACACAUUUUGUACCAAAGUUUCGUUCGAUAGCUGUUCGUGCCUUCAAAAAAUCAUCGAUAGAUAGCUUCUUUCUACGAUUCUAGAGUAUAUUCUAUCAGGUAACAAUAACAAUCUUUGAUCUUCUCUGUCCUCUAGGGUUACGGUUGCUUGUUUCUGCGAUUGAGAAUUUUGAUUUCUGAAUUGUGAUCGAAUCUUCUCUCUCUCUCGUUCGUUCGUGUUCAUGGUUGAGAUUGGAUCCUAAACAUUUGUUGGGAGCUUUCUUGUUUUUUUUUAACAGGUCAACGUUUUUUUUCAGCAUUGAGGGUAAAGUGUGAGAGAGAUGUCAGAUCAUCUGAGUUCAUGUACCGACCGUCUCGUUACAUCUGAUCACCUUAAUUCAGAGGGAGGAUCCAAUGAAUCUUCUGGAGAAUGUUCCAGAGCUCAAGCCACUACUAAACCUAUAGAUGAUAAGGAAGGAAGCGAGCAAGAACACGUCAUUGAUGAAGAGGAGCCGCUUAUUCAAUCAGUUGAGUGUCGUAUUUGCCAAGAAGAGGAUUCUGUUAAGAACCUCGAGUCUCCAUGUUCUUGUAGCGGCAGCUUGAAGGUGAGUUGUUCUUGUGUUUUUGUCAGUACAUUUCUACCUGAAAACUGAACUACUUUGGUUUUAUGUUUUAUCUAGUAUGCUCAUAGGAAGUGUGUUCAGCGUUG